UUGAGCUACACUACCGGGGACACCCGCAGAGGGACAUUGUGGAGCUGCAUGCUGAGGUCCAAUUCUCCAACCUUCGCUUUUCCUCCACCACAGUGGACUUUGGGUGUGUGCUUAACUGCACGGGGAGUCGUAGAGAGAUCUCAAUUACCAACUCCUCCCCGCUGCCCGUGUCCUACCGUUGGGCUUUCCUGGAGGACCACAAACACUGUGCCAUAAGGGACACAGAGAUGGU
Molecule: long non-coding RNA, 232 nt
Organism: Notothenia coriiceps (black rockcod)
Lineage: Eukaryota; Metazoa; Chordata; Actinopteri; Perciformes; Nototheniidae
Exons: 3
Source: RefSeq, a predicted model, not a curated record